GACAGAGGUGGCAAGCGUUGUUCGGAUUCAUUGGGUGUAAAGGGCAGGUAGGUUGUUAUGUAAGUCUGGUGUGAAAUCCCACGGCUCAACCGUGGAACGGCACUGGAAACUGCAUGACUUGAGUACUGGAGAGGUGAGGGGAAUUCUCGGUGUAAGGGUGAAAUCUGUAGAUAUCGAGAGGAACACCAGUGGCGAAGGCGCCUCACUGGCCGGUUACUGACACUGAGCUGCGAAAGCAAGGGGAGCAAACAGG
This 253-nucleotide ribosomal RNA is filed under the name uncultured bacterium. RNAcentral's name for it is "partial 16S ribosomal RNA". It matches the Rfam family "Bacterial small subunit ribosomal RNA", at positions 524 to 776 of the family's 1533-position model. The record is from RNAcentral.